This is a long non-coding RNA of Ruditapes philippinarum (Manila clam), 1941 nucleotides long. RefSeq lists it as uncharacterized. The record is from RefSeq and is a predicted model, not a curated record. NCBI's taxonomy places the organism in Eukaryota, Metazoa, Mollusca, Bivalvia, Venerida, Veneridae. The transcript has 3 exons.
UGACCUUAAAGCAAUAUUAUCUAAAUAAAAAAGAUUUACGAUACACUUUUGCUUCUUUUCCUUUUGUUUGCCCUGUCCGGCUAUUUUGUUACAAUGGGAUAAAUUGUCAGGAAUCGGUCGAUUCUUUAGGUAGAACGGAUCAACUUCCAAUGAAAUGUAUAACCAUUCGACCGUAGAAAUAGUUCCAAUUAAUUUUAAUCUUAUUGAAAAAAGACAUGAAAUAUUACAAUGUUAAUUGAAAUAAAAAUGAUAUGUGAUGAAAAUUAUAAUUGUAGCAACCAAACCAAAGAAAUAGUAAAUUAAUGAUCAUAAACUUAACGUGUUGUGCAAAAAUAAGCAAAACCUUCUACAGCAUCUUCAUCCGACACAGAUACUGAAGCGGAAGUAGCUUAUUCAGUGAAAGUACAGUUUGUUUUGCAGUUAUACAAUUGAAUUAUAUCAUUUAUAGGUAGUACGUUGAAGUACCUGAUAUAAAGCUACAUAUUUUAUCGUUUAGAAAAUAGACCUCUUUUGGUUUUAUGUUAAUUAAAUAUUUAUUGUUCGAAUAAAUGUGCGUUUCCUUACCAAUUCAUGGUGCUGAACAGAUUUAAAAUGAAUUGAAAUAGAUAUAACUGCUAAUUUGUGACACACUUUUUUUCGUUUGGCGCCCGAAAAAUUGACCUUCUUUGCAAAUUAGUCACCAAAUCUUAUACAUACAUGUAAACAUAUCAUACAUAUUGUCACAAAUGACCUUUAUUUCGAAAAUACGUGUUAUCACUAUGGGUCAUGCUAGAUAACAGACUGGGAAUUUUAAAGCUAUAAACAGCAUGAUUAAAUAACAUCUUCUGUCGGCUUAAAAUGAUUAUAUGUUGACGUCAUAAUAUAACAGAUAUAGUAGUUUCGGUUUAAUUUUUACAAUUGCACAAUUAUCUUAAACCUAUGUUAACAAUAGUAACUGUAUUUAAGUUGAAUUUCUAAAUUUUUUUGUUUUGUUUUCUUUUCAUAUUAUUGAGAUAAUUUUGCACCGGAGUGGACUUUCAACCGUUUCCUUGAUAAAGUCGUUUGUAAUUUAGAUCAAAACCACGAAACGUUUUUGCGACUUAAAUGGAAACUUGAAGAGAGAGGCUUUGAACAUAUAACAGCAUUAAUUUUUAUCCAAAAGGAAAAUGCCAGAUCUUACGACAUGGCGAUACUAUAUGAUUUUACAGAGGACUUUUUGUCAUUUCUAAUGGUACCAUCAGCAAAAACCUUUGUCAUAGGGAUAGAACCUUAUGAUAACGGCCUUAAAAUAACAUUUAAGAUGCCGGAGAUAUGUCUUCAGGUUUUGAAAAAUGGACGAGUGAAAAAUAUUUGCGAUGAGGUAAUGAAAGCUUCACAUAGAAACAAUACUGGCGAGAAACCAAACAUUCUCAAUUGAAGGUCAGGAAGACAAAAUGCCCGAAGAGGAAAGUUGUUUUAAAGCUUUAAAUAUUGCAGGAGAAUUGAUACAAGAACAAAUUGACCAACUUUGGAAAAUCGGAUGUUUACCGGAUCGUCUGCUGAAGUUACACACGGAAUCUGGAAUGUCUGUGACUUUAUGGAAAACUCUUGUAAAAACUCGGAAUGGAAAACUGGCCUCUCAUUACAUUCCCCUGCAAAAUCAUAUUGAACUUGAAAAACAGUCCUUACAUUGUAAAGUAGUUAGAAUACAUUGUAAAGUAGUUAGAAUUUAUCCACAUAUUAAAGAACCAUUGUGUUGUAAAACUUGAACUGUUGUCUUUACUUUAUGCCAGUUAAUAUCUAUAGGUCGUUUUCUAUGCAUUGUUUAAACUUAUUAUAUCAAUGUAUCAGUUUAAAUACGACGAAUCUACAAUAACAUCUGAUCAUUUUUAGGAAUGUCAUUGAUAUGAAAAUAUAUUGAAAUAACAGCAAUUCCGUUGCUUAAGAUGCCAUCUGUAUAAGCAUAUUAUUUAUUAAAAUUUA